RNAcentral lists this ribosomal RNA (496 nucleotides) under uncultured bacterium. RNAcentral describes it as "partial 16S ribosomal RNA". It matches the Rfam family "Bacterial small subunit ribosomal RNA", at positions 28 to 506 of the family's 1533-position model. The record is from RNAcentral.
GAUGAACGCUGGCGGCGUGCCUAAUACAUGCAAGUCGAGCGAACAGAUGAGGAGCUUGCUCCUCUGACGUUAGCGGCGGACGGGUGAGUAACACGUGGAUAACCUACCUAUAAGACUGGUAUAACUUCGGGAAACCGGAGCUAAUACCGGAUAAUAUAUUGAACCGCAUGGUUCAAUAGUGAAAGACGGUUUUGCUGUCACUUAUAGAUGGAUCCGCGCCGCAUUAGCUAGUUGGUAAGGUAACGGCUUACCAAGGCAACGAUGCGUAGCCGACCUGAGAGGGGAAUCGGCCAAAAUGGAACUGAGACACGGUCCAGAAUCAUAGGGGAGGCAGCAGUAGGGAAUCUUCCGCAAGGGGAGAAAGCCUGAGGGAGAAACGCCGGGGGAGUGAUGAAGGGUUUGGGAUGGAAAAACUUUGUUAUGAGGGAAAAAAAAAUGGGAAAGUAAAGAUGCAGGUUUUGAAGGUACCAAAAAAAAAAGCCACGGCUAAAUACGG